CCUUGACACCUGCGACUGGAGAAGCAAGAUGGCCUCCUCUGUGUGAGUGAUUGAGCUGAUUUUCUGCUCAAAAAACUACAAUCGAAACUGCCAUUUCAGAUCCCUUCAUCAUGAACUCCUCGAGAGAAGGCCAAUGGUUUGCAGCGCUGUCAACAAAGCAAAAGAGGAGGAGGAAGUGAAGAGGCUGGUUUGGUUGUUGAUUCUACUGCUGUGUUGAAGAUGGAGCGGAGGAACUGGUGGCAUUCUUGUUGUAAGAACAGGACCGGUAGCAGCUGUUGAUGUUUGGAGAAUGACAGUGCGAAGAGAGAGGAAAGCAGCUCUGGCAGGGGAAUAAGGAGUGAAGUUCUGGAGCAAACCCGGGGCCAUUAGCACUUGGACACGGUGCGAGAGUGUGUGUGCGAUCACUUGGGGAUUGUUUGAUAUUGACCUGCCCGAGCUGAAACCUGUCCUGCUGCAAUCCUCCUAUGUCUACAGGGCAUGGAGGAGCUGAUGCAACUACUCUGCUCUUAUUGCUUCAAGUCCAUCGAUGACCACAGCAUCGUGUUGAUGGCCCGGGACAACUUUAUCACUCCAAGAAGCACUCUCCUUCAGGGUUUGUAGACGCUGUGAUUACAUAAUUAAAAACAUCCUGGAAAAGACAUGGAAAAGUGUUUUGGAACCCUGAGUUUGCUCAACCCAACUCUCGUAUACCAAAUAGCCAUUAUAUUACCAACAAUAAAGGGACACCUGAUACAAUUAUAGGUUGGAAAUUUUGUGGUUUAGUUUUUGAGCAGCUCUUGAGGUCAAAUAAAGUCUGUCACUAAAAGAACUUUACAUUACUUUAGUCGAGUAGUAG
This is a long non-coding RNA of Boleophthalmus pectinirostris (great blue-spotted mudskipper), 835 nucleotides long. RefSeq lists it as uncharacterized. Lineage: Eukaryota; Metazoa; Chordata; Actinopteri; Gobiiformes; Gobiidae. The record is from RefSeq and is a predicted model, not a curated record. The transcript has 6 exons.